UGAGGACUUCCCAGCAAUGCAGAACUCCAACAGGAGCUGGAAACUCUUCUUGCAGUCUUGAGAAAGUAGGUGGUCAUGUGGAACAAACUGUAGACAGCUUAAAGGCAAAUUCCAGCCAACAACUAGCAAAAAUCUGAGCCUUCAGUUAAACAGAAGCAGUGAAAUCAAUUCUGCCCACAACCUGAAUGACCUUGGAAGCAGAUUCUUCCUCAAUUGAGCCUCCAGAUGAGAAUGCAGCCUGGCCAACAACUGCCUCAUUAACUGUGAAACUGACUCUGAGCAGAGGACAAAGCAAAGCUGUGCACAGACUCCUGACUUACCAAGCCUGUGAGAUGAUAUUCCCAAAUUAUUUUAAGCUGAUAGAUUCCUGGAAAUUUUAUUACAUAUCAAUAGAAAAUGAAUACACUAAUUAUCUCUGAUUUUUCUGC
This 428-nucleotide long non-coding RNA is filed under the name Homo sapiens (human). RNAcentral's name for it is "HSALNT0034599". The record is from RNAcentral. Lineage: Eukaryota; Metazoa; Chordata; Mammalia; Primates; Hominidae.